RNAcentral lists this unclassified non-coding RNA (331 nucleotides) under soil metagenome. RNAcentral describes it as "partial contains 5.8S ribosomal RNA, internal transcribed spacer 2, and large subunit ribosomal RNA". The stretch from base 1 to 120 matches the Rfam family "5.8S ribosomal RNA", at positions 35 to 154 of the family's 154-position model. The record is from RNAcentral.
GAUGAAGAACGUAGCGAAAUGCGAUAAGUAAUGUGAAUUGCAGAAUUCAGUGAAUCAUCGAAUCUUUGAACGCACAUUGCGCCUCCUGGUAUUCCGGGGGGCAUGCCUGUCCGAGCGUCAUUUCACCACUCAAGCCUCGCUUGGUAUUGGGCAACGCGGUCCGCCGCGUGCCUCAAAUCGACCGGCUGGGUCUUCUGUCCCCUAAGCGUUGUGGAAACUAUUCGCUAAAGGGUGUUCGGGAGGCUACGCCGUAAAACAACCCCAUUUCUAAGGUUGACCUCGGAUCAGGUAGGGAUACCCGCUGAACUUAAGCAUAUCAAUAAGCGGAGGA